Long non-coding RNA from Equus asinus (donkey), 4067 nucleotides. The record is from Ensembl. Lineage: Eukaryota; Metazoa; Chordata; Mammalia; Perissodactyla; Equidae.
AUUUUUUAUAUUGAUUAUAUGUGGAAAGAUGCUAUUUUGGAUAUAUCAAAUAAAAUAUUUCUAAAAGCAGUUUUACCUUUUCCUUCUGGGCUUGGUCCAUCAGGAAAGUGUUCCUGUACUACACUCCCAGCCCCACCCCGCCAUCAGUGUCUGCACCCGUCAGUGGCUUAACAAAAAGAGUGAAAAAUCGCAUUCCUCUUGAUCCGUGGUUGUGUGUUACCUUUAAUGUGCUUCAGCCAACAGUCGACAGCACCAGUGUCCUGCCAUGGGUCUUGGGCUUUUGGUGACCCAACAGAAAGAAAAAGAUACCUACAGUUGAAGAUUGGUUUUUAUUCUUUCGGAAAACAAAAUUUUAAGCACUUUGUUCCUCAGUUGGAUUUCAUUAGAUCCCAAGUGUAUGGGAUCAGUGGUGUGAAAAAAGGAAGCACAAUUGGCAAGUGAUCGCUUUUCCAGUCAUUCCAAUAGACCGUGAGUUUUAGAUGUGCAAUGUUCCUGACAGCAGUGAAGAAAAGGCCUUCCGGAGAUUCCUGGCUUUUGAAGCACCUUCCCCUCCUGUCCACGCAUUUACAUCCUUGUAGUGGCCAGUAGAGCUCGGGGUUGCUGUGAGUUGGAAGAACACUGGGUUGACAGAUCUACUGUGAGCUGUAUCGGGACUGCUUUGAAACCCAUCUUUCAGUGCACUGAAUAAGUCAUCUGCUUAAAUACAGAGCUGCUUCCAUAUCAGCUUCUAUAAAGUAGUGCGACACUCUGAAAAAGAAGUUUAUCAUGAUAGCUAUAGGACAGGAAUUGAAAGAAAAUCAGAUGGAAAGGCUCUGAAAAUUUCCACAUUACUCAUCUCCAAAGGAAUUUUCAUAAAGAUGUUUGACAACAUCUGAAAAGAUACGUAACCAUGGAGAUACACCUAUUAAUGUGUUUACCACAACACAAUACAUUUAACAUGGCGUAUUUUUAGAAGACCACACACUCUUAACACUUUGUAAGGUUUCGAAGUACAAAUUUCCAUGCUUAGCUCUUCAUAAUUGUGAAUUUAUAAUAGUUUGAAUUUUAUGUGCAGCUUUGUUUAUGAGAAGCAAUACUUUGUAAUUUGAUAAUAUUUCAAAUUAUCUUUAGUCUUUUUGUUUGAACUAUUGCUUGAUUACUGUAACUUGACAUGACUUUCCUAUUGAGAAUCAAAAUCAGGAUUCAGUAAUAGGGAUGCAGAUCUUAAGUCUUUUUAACAUGCACCAUUUUAAGUUUUAUUUUUAUGCUCCACAGUGAAAAAAGUGUGCCGUGUGCAGUUGUGUGGCACUUAACGACAGGUAUGCGUUCUGAGAAAUGUGUCAUUAGGCAAUUUGCUCAUUGUGUGAACAUCAUAGAGUGUGCAGCCUACUCCCACCUAGGCUGUGUGGCGCUAAACUUAGGGGACCACUGUCCUGUGCGCGGCCUGUCGUCGACCGAAGCCUUGUUAUGCGGCGCACGGCUGCAUGCAGAACGCAGACAGGCAGAAAAGCCUGCUUGCCUGGCGUUUCACUAUCUCCACAUGCUGUGAGUGGGAUUUUGGGAGAGAGCCUUUGUUAUUGUCACUAAGUUUUUCAACGUGUGUGUAGCUCUAGGUGCUGAUUUUGCUGUAAUGGAGUCCUGAAGGAUGCCUUUAUAUGAAUGGAGAGACAUCAUGAAUUCUCAGCAGGACUGUUGUAGGCUUGAAUGAAGGUAGAUAUGUGGAACUCAGUUUACAGUGUGCUGUCGAGUGUAAUUCUGCUUGAGACAGAUGCUGGCCUUUAUGAGAAAGGAGUUAAGGACUGAAGCACCAAAAAGAACUUUCUUUCUUAUGAGGCGGUUCUCUGGCCUGGACCCAGAAGCAGUCCCAGAGUAAAAGCCCUCCAAAGUAUAUGAAUCGGUGUUCCUGGAGAAAAAAAGAAAUGGUCGCACCUUUAUCACUUUAAAAUGUUAUUUCCUUUAAAAUAAUUAUGGGGAAAGUUUUUUGGCAAUAGGUUAUAUAAAACAAAAUCUUUCUGCUUAAAUGUUGGUAAUAUGUUUAUAGAUGAGACUAGGAGCUUUUGCACACCAUUUUCACGAUACCUUGGUUGUAUUCUAGCAUUAUUCCCACAUCUUGUCUGGGAAGAUUAGAAAUCUUCACCCCAUGAUGGGGGUGGGGGGGUAGAUUUUUUUCCCCUGUACACCUUCAGUAAAGCAUUGAAGUAUGCCUUUUAACCCAAAGAAUGAUUGGUUUGAUUGUUAAUACGUCUGAAAAAAGUUUUUUUAGCAAAAAUCAUGUAUUAGUUUUAUGCCUUUGGAUGCUUGUUCAUUACAUAAGUUGUUUUUGGUUUUUGUUUUCACUUACUGACAUUUAGAAAAAUACUGGAGGAUCUAGUGUUAAAUUAACAACAAAGGCAUGGGGACUUUCCUGUGUUGAGGGAAUUACUACCCAUUUAAUCUUACAGCUGGGAUUCCAUGUUAAAGACAGGCUCACUUAUACAAGGGUCCUGUGGUCUGUCUUCCUGAGAGCCCUAGAGACCCUUGUAGGGCGCACUCACGGCUCUCAGCACGUCCCUUUGUAGCGCUCCGUGGCGGUUAUCCCACACUUGAGAGUGAGUAGGUGAAAGGAAAGCCUCGUUGGCAGCCACUGUGCUCAUUCUCUGGCAAAUAACGUUCUCCAGCACACCCGUUCUCUUCCUCAAGAUUCAGGUUCCUGCUUCCACAAAAUUACACUUUAUUUAGCUGCAGGUCAUCAGCUGCGCAGUUCUCACAAAUAAUAUUAAAAUUUCAAAUAACUAUGGUCCACUUGUCCGUCAAGAUGAGAUUACCAAUUGAAUCCUCUUGUUAAUUUUAAAGCAGUUUCAGAACCAAAAAUUAUAUGUAAACAUGGCUAAAUUUUUUUUUUCUUGUCCCUAAGAAAAUGAGCAUCUUUGGUCUUAGUAUUUGGCCUUAGUAUUAAAUUUGUAUAUAUUUACUUAUCAUGGUACUUCCAGAUGAUCAUGUUUCCAGUUCCAGUCUUGCCUGUACUAUUUAUAUGGUUUAAAAUAUUUGACAGUUCUAUUUCUGUUAUUGUAUCAUUUCUGUGUUAAGAUCCACAAACAGCUGCUUGCUGAUGUUGAGUCAAUUCAGAGGUGAAUUGACCAGUCUAGUCUCAACAGCAAUAUAUUGAAAAUCGGGAAACAAGUAGAUGAUGACUUGGGGAUGUUUUGAGGUUAAUGUUACUGCUCACUUGAAUGUCAAUUUUCAGUAUUUCCCCUACUAAUGCGACCAACAUUAUGUAUAUAUAACCAGUGUGGCCUGUUUAGAAAAGGUGUGGUUAGUGACGUACACUCCCCAUGGCACCGGAGGGUGCAGUGAGGAAAGGCCUGGCUCGAGGAUUUCCACCUUGCUUACUCGGUGGAUAUUUUAUCAGCUUAUGGAGUUCGUGAGCAGCAUAAAAACAAUCAUUCCUUAAUUCUUCAUUGUGGAACUGGCACAUUUCUAUAAAAUGCAUUUCUAAACGGGCUCCAAGGCACAGCUGUAACAGUCGAUCAGCUGUAGUAUUUCCACAGUGGGAAUGUGGGGAUUUUCUCAUGACAUGAAACUGUAGAAAAUUCUCAGCCCUGUCAUGUACUCUGUAUAAUGAGGGGAAAAUCCUUGUUUCUACAAAGCUGCAGGGUGUAGCAAUACAUGGUAACAUAUGGCCUGACCACUUGAUGUCAUAAAAUGUGUUCACCUGUAAAGCAUACUUUGGCCAUAGCAGAUACUAAAGAAUUAAAACUCUUACUAUAUCAGUGGAGCAAAAAUUAAUGGGCAGCAUCCUCUCUGUUUGGAACGGGACCAGUAUACACUUUAAUUUUAUGCAUUCCCUUAGACUCCAGUUUUUAACUACAUUCAUUGAGUAUGUGUAUGAAUUUAAGUCACUGCUUUUAGCCUAGGUGAAGUUUUUUUCUUUCACUAAAUACAAGGGUGUUUUUUGCCUUAUAAUUUAAUUGUUAUGCACUCAACAUCAGAUACCAACCUGUAAAGUACUAAUGGGUCCUUAAAGGCCUUAUCAGGGAGUUGAAAUUUCAUAUAUAUUACCGGGUUAUUUGUAAAGAAUCUUUUUGAACAGCUGUAAAACAUUUAAAAAC